AACGGUGGCUAAUACCGGAUGUGCCGANNGGUAAAAGGCUUGCUGCCUGAAGAUGAGCUCGCGUCUGAUUAGCUAGUAGGUGUGGUAAGAGCGCACCUAGGCGACGAUCAGUAGCUGGUCUGAGAGGAUGAUCAGCCACACUGGGACUGAGACACGGCCCAGACUCCUACGGGAGGCAGCAGUGGGGAAUUUUCCGCAAUGGGCGAAAGCCUGACGGAGCAAUACCGCGUGAGGGAGGAAGGCUCUUGGGUUGUAAACCUCUUUUCUCAGGGAAUAAAAAAAUGAAGGUACCUGAGGAAUAAGCAUCGGCUAACUCCGUGCCAGCAGCCGCGGUAAUACGGAGGAUGCAAGCGUUAUCCGGAAUGAUUGGGCGUAAAGGGUCCGCAGGUGGCCCUGUAAGUCUGCUGUUAAAGAGUGAGGCUUAACCUCAUAAGAGCAGUGGAAACUACAGAGCUAGAGUGCGUUCGGGGUAGCANGAAUUCCCUGGUGUAGCGGUGAAAUGCGUANAGAUCANGAAGAACACCGGUGGCGAAAGCGUGCUACUANGCCGUAACUGACGCUGANGGACGAAAGCUAGGGGAGCGAAUGGGAUUAGAUAC
Molecule: ribosomal RNA, 599 nt
Filed under: Nostoc sp. CALU 1067
Lineage: Bacteria; Bacillati; Cyanobacteriota; Cyanophyceae; Nostocales; Nostocaceae
Description: bacterial SSU rRNA
Rfam family: Bacterial small subunit ribosomal RNA
Source: RNAcentral